UCAGCUUUGGUGCAGUAGGUAGCACUUCAGUCCCACAAGCUGAAGGUCCCGAGUUCGAUCCUUGAAAGGAGGG
Non-coding RNA from Monodelphis domestica (gray short-tailed opossum), 73 nucleotides. The record is from Rfam. NCBI's taxonomy places the organism in Eukaryota, Metazoa, Chordata, Mammalia, Didelphimorphia, Didelphidae.